Molecule: ribosomal RNA, 254 nt
Filed under: uncultured prokaryote
Description: partial 16S ribosomal RNA
Rfam family: Bacterial small subunit ribosomal RNA
Source: RNAcentral
ACGGGGGGAGCAAGCGUUGUUCGGAUUUACUGGGCGUAAAGGGCGCGUAGGCGGUCAGCACAAGUCAGUUGUGAAAUCUCCGAGCUUAACUCGGAAAGGUCAACUGAUACUGUGCGACUAGAGUGCAGAAGGGGCAACUGGAAUUCUCGGUGUAGCGGUGAAAUGCGUAGAUAUCGCUUGGAACGCCAACGGUGAAAACAGGCUGCUGGGGGUGUGCUGACGCUGAGACACGAAAGCCAGGGGAGCGAACGGGA